UGGCGGCCUUAGCGCGGUGGUCCCACCUGACCCCAUGCCGAACUCAGAAGUGAAACGCCGUAGCGCCGAUGGUAGUGUAGGGUCUCCCCAUGCGAGAGUAGGGAACUGCCAGGCA
This 115-nucleotide ribosomal RNA is filed under the name Escherichia coli TA014. Lineage: Bacteria; Pseudomonadati; Pseudomonadota; Gammaproteobacteria; Enterobacterales; Enterobacteriaceae. The record is from RNAcentral. RNAcentral also lists the same sequence under 3 other names.